CAAUAGCGUAUACUAACAUUGUUGCAGUUAAAAAGCUCGUAGUUGGAUUUCUGGCUGUUUGUGGGAGUCGCCCAUCUACUUGGCCAUGUGCCUUGUAGUUUGCGUGCAGACUUUCGCCAGCCAUCCUUCAGAUGCCCUUUGGGUUUUCUGAUCGAUUACUUUGAAGAAAUUAGAGUGUUCAAAGCAGGCUUGUGCUGUUGAAUACAUUAGCAUGGAAUAAUAAGAUAGGACUUGUGUUCUAUUUUGUUGGUUUCUAGAACCGCAAGUAAUGAUUGAUAGGGACAGUUGGGGGUGCUCGUAUUCCAUGGCCAGCGGUGAAAUGCGAUGAUUCAUGGAAGACGAACUAAUGCGAAAGCAUUCACCAAGGAUGUCUUCUUUGA
This 380-nucleotide ribosomal RNA is filed under the name uncultured eukaryote. Its description in RNAcentral is "partial 18S ribosomal RNA". It matches the Rfam family "Eukaryotic small subunit ribosomal RNA", at positions 592 to 976 of the family's 1831-position model. The record is from RNAcentral.